This 2646-nucleotide ribosomal RNA is filed under the name uncultured Helicobacter sp. RNAcentral describes it as "partial contains 16S ribosomal RNA, 16S-23S ribosomal RNA intergenic spacer, and 23S ribosomal RNA". The stretch from base 1 to 1469 matches the Rfam family "Bacterial small subunit ribosomal RNA". The record is from RNAcentral. Lineage: Bacteria; Pseudomonadati; Campylobacterota; Epsilonproteobacteria; Campylobacterales; Helicobacteraceae.
AGUGAACGCUGGCGGCGUGCCUAAUACAUGCAAGUCGAACGAUGAAGCUCUAGCUUGCUAGAGUGGAUUAGUGGCGCACGGGUGAGUAAUGCAUAGAUAACAUGCCCUUUAGUCUAGGAUAGCCAUUGGAAACGAUGAUUAAUACUGGAUACUCCUUACGAGGGAAAGUUUUUCGCUAAAGGAUUGGUCUAUGUCCUAUCAGCUUGUUGGUGAGGUAAUGGCUCACCAAGGCUAUGACGGGUAUCCGGCCUGAGAGGGUGAACGGACACACUGGAACUGAGACACGGUCCAGACUCCUACGGGAGGCAGCAGUAGGGAAUAUUGCUCAAUGGGGGAAACCCUGAAGCAGCAACGCCGCGUGGAGGAUGAAGGUUUUCGGAUUGUAAACUCCUUUUGUUAGAGAAGAUAAUGACGGUAUCUAACGAAUAAGCACCGGCUAACUCCGUGCCAGCAGCCGCGGUAAUACGGAGGGUGCAAGCGUUACUCGGAAUCACUGGGCGUAAAGAGCGCGUAGGCGGGAUAGCAAGUCAGAUGUGAAAUCCUAUGGCUUAACCAUAGAACUGCAUUUGAAACUGUUAUUCUAGAGUAUGGGAGAGGUAGGUGGAAUUCUUGGUGUAGGGGUAAAAUCCGUAGAGAUCAAGAGGAAUACUCAUUGCGAAGGCGACCUGCUAGAACAUAACUGACGCUGAUGCGCGAAAGCGUGGGGAGCAAACAGGAUUAGAUACCCUGGUAGUCCACGCCCUAAACGAUGAAUGCUAGUUGUUGUGGAGCUUGUCUCUGCAGUAAUGCAGCUAACGCAUUAAGCAUUCCGCCUGGGGAGUACGGUCGCAAGAUUAAAACUCAAAGGAAUAGACGGGGACCCGCACAAGCGGUGGAGCAUGUGGUUUAAUUCGAAGAUACACGAAGAACCUUACCUAGGCUUGACAUUGAUAGAAUCCGCUAGAGAUAGUGGAGUGCUAGCUUGCUAGAACUUGAAAACAGGUGCUGCACGGCUGUCGUCAGCUCGUGUCGUGAGAUGUUGGGUUAAGUCCCGCAACGAGCGCAACCCUCGUCCUUAGUUGCUAACUAUUCGGUAGAGCACUCUAAGGAGACUGCCUUCGCAAGGAGGAGGAAGGUGAGGAUGACGUCAAGUCAUCAUGGCCCUUACGCCUAGGGCUACACACGUGCUACAAUGGGAAGCACAAAGAGAUGCAAUAUUGUGAAAUGGAGCAAAUCUAUAAAACUUCUCUCAGUUCGGAUUGUAGUCUGCAACUCGACUACAUGAAGCUGGAAUCGCUAGUAAUCGUAAAUCAGCUAUGUUACGGUGAAUACGUUCCCGGGUCUUGUACUCACCGCCCGUCACACCAUGGGAGUUGUAUUCGCCUUAAGUCGGAAUGCCAAACUGGCUACCGCCCACGGCGGAUGCAGCGACUGGGGUGAAGUCGUAACAAGGUAACCGUAGGUGAACCUGCGGUUGGAUCACCUCCUUUCAAGAGAAAAGACUAAAGAUUCGUUUCUUUUAGUUUAAGUUGUUCUUUUCCUGCUUAGUUUUCAGAGAUUAUUUAACUUUAAAGUAGGGGCUUAUAGCUCAGGUGGUUAGAGCGCACCCCUGAUAAGGGUGAGGUCGGAGGUUCAAGUCCUCCUAAGCCCACCAGAAAUUGUUCUUUAUUGAUACUUUUUGCAGAGUAUGAGAUUUUUUUCAGUCAUUACCUUAUGAGGUAGCUCUUUUUAAAAUUUCUAAUACAACUACAAAAAUCAUUCAAAAAUAAUCAAUUUUAAUUAUUAAACUACCCUAUUAUGGGGAAUUAGCUCAGCUGGGAGAGCGCCUGCUUUGCACGCAGGAGGUCAGCGGUUCGAUCCCGCUAUUCUCCACCAAAAUUAAUGCAUCAUUGGUGUAGUCAAUACAAUAAAAAGAUUCUAAUGUAAGUAUUUAAUAAUCCAUUCUUUUUUAUGCUUAGCAUAGAAUAGGAUUAAAAGAAAGUUAGAAGUAAAAGAAAACAAAAGAAAAACUUCAAACUUCCCUUUAGUGUUUUUAUAAAUCUUUACAUUAGAAUCCUAAAAAAGAUUCUAAAUGUUCUUACACAACUCAUUGUUAAAGCCUAAAAUAAGUAAUAACUACAAUCACGCAAAUAACCAAGAUUGUUUUAAUGGAUUUACAUUCAUUAAGGCAGUGGCGUUAAAGAAUACAAAGUCAGUUAAGCUUGUAAAGGGCAAAUGGUGGAUGCCUUGGGUAGUAGAGGCGAUGAAGGACGUACUAGACUGCGAUAAGCUAUGGGGAGCUGUCAAGAAGCUUUGAGCCAUAGAUUUCCGAAUGGGGCAACCCAAUGUGUAGCAAUACACAUUACCUUAAAUGGAGCGAACCUAGCGAAGUGAAACAUCUCAGUAGCUAGAGGAAAAGAAAUCAAACGAGAUUCUCUUAGUAGCGGCGAGCGAACGGGGAAAAGGGCAAACCCAAUGCUUGCAUUGGGGGUUGAGGACUGCAAUAUCCACUGGAAUACUCUAAUAGAACAUUUUGGAAAGAAUAGCCAUAGAGGGUGAUAGUCCCGUAUAUGAAAGAGUAUUUCUAGGUAGCAGUAUCCAGAGUAGGUCAGGGCACGUGAAACCCGGACUGAAGCAGGGGAGACCACUCUCCAACCCUAAAUACUACUACUACACCGAUAGCGAACC